GGGUUGUGAGGUUAAGCGACUAAGCGUACACGGUGGAUGCCCUGGCAGUCAGAGGCGAUGAAGGACGUGCUAAUCUGCGAAAAGCGUCGGUAAGGUGAUAUGAACCGUUACAGCCGGCGAUGUCCGAAUGGGGAAACCCAGUGCAAUUCGUUGCACUAUCGUUAACUGAAUACAUAGGUUAACGAGGCGAACCGGGGGAACUGAAACAUCUAAGUACCCCGAGGAAAAGAAAUCAACCGAGAUUCCCCCAGUAGCGGCGAGCGAACGGGGAGCAGCCCAGAGUCUGAAUCAGCUUGUGUGUUAGUGGAACGGUCUGGAAAGUCCGACGGUACAGGGUGAUAGUCCCGUACACCAAAAUGCACAGGUUGUGAACUCGAAGAGUAGGGCGGGACACGUGGUAUCCUGUCUGAAUAUGGGGGGACCAUCCUCCAAGGCUAAAUACUCCUGACUGACCGAUAGUGAAUCAGUACCGUGAGGGAAAGGCGAAAAGAACCCCGGCGAGGGGAGUGAAAAAGAACCUGAAACCGUGUACGUACAAGCAGUGGGAGCACCUUCGGGUGUGACUGCGUACCUUUUGUAUAAUGGGUCAGCGACUUAUAUUCUGUAGCAAGGUUAACCGUAUAGGGGAGCCGCAGGGAAACCGAGUCUUAACUGGGCGUUAAGUUGCAGGGUAUAGACCCGAAACCCGGUGAUCUAGCCAUGGGCAGGUUGAAGGUUGGGUAACACUAACUGGAGGACCGAACCGACUAAUGUUGAAAAAUUAGCGGAUGACUUGUGGCUGGGGGUGAAAGGCCAAUCAAACCGGGAGAUAGCUGGUUCUCCCCGAAAGCUAUUUAGGUAGCGCCUCGUGAACUCAUCUUCGGGGGUAGAGCACUGUUUCGGCUAGGGGGUCAUCCCGACUUACCAACCCGAUGCAAACUACGAAUACCGAAGAAUGUUAUCACGGGAGACACACGGCGGGUGCUAACGUCCGUCGUGAAGAGGGAAACAACCCAGACCGCCAGCUAAGGUCCCAAAGUCAUGGUUAAGUGGGAAACGAUGUGGGAAGGCACAGACAGCCAGGAUGUUGGCUUAGAAGCAGCCAUCAUUUAAAGAAAGCGUAAUAGCUCACUGGUCGAGUCGGCCUGCGCGGAAGAUGUAACGGGGCUAAACCAUGCACCGAAGCUGCGGCAGCGACACUAUGUGUUGUUGGGUAGGGGAGCGUUCUGUAAGCCUGCGAAGGUGACCUGUGAGGGUUGCUGGAGGUAUCAGAAGUGCGAAUGCUGACAUAAGUAACGAUAAAGCGGGUGAAAAGCCCGCUCGCCGGAAGACCAAGGGUUCCUGUCCAACGUUAAUCGGGGCAGGGUGAGUCGACCCCUAAGGCGAGGCCGAAAGGCGUAGUCGAUGGGAAACAGGUUAAUAUUCCUGUACUUGGUGUUACUGCGAAGGGGGGACGGAGAAGGCUAUGUUAGCCGGGCGACGGUUGUCCCGGUUUAAGCAUGUAGGCUGGUUAUCCAGGCAAAUCCGGAUAAUCAAGGCUGAGGUGUGAUGACGAGGCACUACGGUGCUGAAGUAACAAAUGCCCUGCUUCCAGGAAAAGCCUCUAAGCAUCAGGUAACAUCAAAUCGUACCCCAAACCGACACAGGUGGUCAGGUAGAGAAUACCAAGGCGCUUGAGAGAACUCGGGUGAAGGAACUAGGCAAAAUGGUGCCGUAACUUCGGGAGAAGGCACGCUGGUGUGUAGGUGAAGUCCCUGCGGAUGGAGCUGAGACCAGUCGAAGAUACCAGCUGGCUGCAACUGUUUAUUAAAAACACAGCACUGUGCAAACACGAAAGUGGACGUAUACGGUGUGACGCCUGCCCGGUGCCGGAAGGUUAAUUGAUGGGGUUAUCCGUAAGGAGAAGCUCUUGAUCGAAGCCCCGGUAAACGGCGGCCGUAACUAUAACGGUCCUAAGGUAGCGAAAUUCCUUGUCGGGUAAGUUCCGACCUGCACGAAUGGCGUAAUGAUGGCCAGGCUGUCUCCACCCGAGACUCAGUGAAAUUGAACUCGCUGUGAAGAUGCAGUGUACCCGCGGCAAGACGGAAAGACCCCGUGAACCUUUACUAUAGCUUGACACUGAACAUUGAGCCUUGAUGUGUAGGAUAGGUGGGAGGCUUUGAAGCGUGGACGCCAGUCUGCGUGGAGCCAACCUUGAAAUACCACCCUUUAAUGUUUGAUGUUCUAACGUUGGCCCCUUACCGGGGUUGCGGACAGUGUCUGGUGGGUAGUUUGACUGGGGCGGUCUCCUCCCAAAGCGUAACGGAGGAGCACGAAGGUUAGCUAAUCCUGGUCGGACAUCAGGAGGUUAGUGCAAUGGCAUAAGCUAGCUUGACUGCGAGCGUGACGGCGCGAGCAGGUGCGAAAGCAGGUCAUAGUGAUCCGGUGGUUCUGAAUGGAAGGGCCAUCGCUCAACGGAUAAAAGGUACUCCGGGGAUAACAGGCUGAUACCGCCCAAGAGUUCAUAUCGACGGCGGUGUUUGGCACCUCGAUGUCGGCUCAUCACAUCCUGGGGCUGAAGUAGGUCCCAAGGGUAUGGCUGUUCGCCAUUUAAAGUGGUACGCGAGCUGGGUUUAGAACGUCGUGAGACAGUUCGGUCCCUAUCUGCCGUGGGCGCUGGAGAAUUGAGGGGGGCUGCUCCUAGUACGAGAGGACCGGAGUGGACGCAUCACUGGUGUUCGGGUUGUCAUGCCAAUGGCACUGCCCGGUAGCUAAAUGCGGAAGAGAUAAGUGCUGAAAGCAUCUAAGCACGAAACUUGCCCCGAGAUGAGUUCUCCCUGAGACUUUAAGUCUCCUGAAGGAACGUUAAAGACGAUGACGUUGAUAGGCCGGGUGUGUAAGCGCAGCGAUGCGUUGAGCUAACCGGUACUAAUGAACCGUGAGGCUUAACCUUACAACGCCGAAG
Molecule: ribosomal RNA, 2923 nt
Filed under: Klebsiella pneumoniae
Lineage: Bacteria; Pseudomonadati; Pseudomonadota; Gammaproteobacteria; Enterobacterales; Enterobacteriaceae
Description: bacterial LSU rRNA
Rfam family: Bacterial large subunit ribosomal RNA
Source: RNAcentral